This 489-nucleotide ribosomal RNA is filed under the name uncultured Nitrososphaerota archaeon. RNAcentral describes it as "bacterial SSU rRNA". It matches the Rfam family "Archaeal small subunit ribosomal RNA", at positions 340 to 824 of the family's 1478-position model. Lineage: Archaea; Thermoproteati; Nitrososphaerota. The record is from RNAcentral.
CGAGAAAACUUUAGACAAUGCGGGAAACCGUGAUCAGGGGACGUCCAAGUGCCAGGAGUAAGAUCCUGUGCUUUUCUUCUCUCUUCAAAGGAUUAGGAAUAAGAGGUGGGUAAGGACGGUGCCAGCCGCCGCGGUAAUACCGGCGCCUCGAGUGGUAGUCGAUUUUAUUGGGCCUAAAACGUCCGUCGCCGGUCUGGUGCAUUCGUGGGUAAAUCAACCCGCUCAACGGGUUGAAUUCUGCGAGCACGGCCAGACUAGGGACCGGGAGAGGUGUGGGGUACGCUCGGGGUAGGGGUAAAAGUCCUGUCAUCCCGAGCGGACCACCUGUUGCGAAGGCGCCACACUAGGACGGAUCCGACGGUCAGGGACGAAGCCUAGGGGCACGAACCGGAUUAGAUACCCCGGGUAGUCCUAGGUGUAAACGCUGUGGACUUGGUGUUGGGAGCUCCCAGAGGGCUCUCAGUGCCGUAGCGAAGGUGAUAAGUCCAC